This 148-nucleotide non-coding RNA is filed under the name Nomascus leucogenys (northern white-cheeked gibbon). The record is from Rfam by way of RNAcentral. Lineage: Eukaryota; Metazoa; Chordata; Mammalia; Primates; Hylobatidae.
GCUGGGCAUGGUGGCGCAUGCCUGUAAUCCCAGCUACUCAGGAGGUUGAGGCAGGAGAAUCAUUUGAACCCAGGAGGUGGAGGUUGCAGUGAGCUGAGAUCGCAUCACUGCCCUCCAGCCUGGGCGACAGAGUGAGAUGCUGUCUCAA